GUAGAAAAAGGUCCAGAUAUAUUCAAGGAUAUUGAAGCUGCUAACAGGAUUAGGAAAAGACAAAGAAAAAGAAAUCUAUCUCGUUUUGGGCAAGCUGGUGGUGUGAAGAAUCAGAUAUUUAUCAGAGAAGAAGAUAACUGUAUUUGCAAAAACCUCACUGCCAUGGUUGAUAAUGGUUGUGAUGUAGAGAAAAGUCCAGAUGUAGACAAGGAUGAUAGAGUUGGUAUUCCUAGAAGACCAAGAAGAAAAAGAGCUGCUAGAUAUAGGAGACAUAGAGAAUGUAAGAGUUUUCAUCAUCAGGCUGUAGUAAACAAUGUUCAAACCAAGGAAGAAUAUAGGACAAUUGAUAAUAUAUCUCAGAAGGAUCCUGUGCCCAUAACGUCCUCAAAGUCACCUUUAAGUACAAGUGAAAUGAUCACACAAUCAGGAUCUGUAGAAGUUGCUGAAAGUGAAUUAGAAUUUGAUAGGACAUGUUCAUUCCGGAAUACAAAAAGCAAUAAGUUGUCAAUAGAUGAACUGGAGUUGACUGUUCAAGAUAUUGAAUAUGCAGAGAGUUCAGAGUUUCCAGUUAGCAAAACUGAUUUUGGGAUUGCCAGUGUAUUGCUGUCAAAUUCAAAUCCAAAAGAGCCUGAUGCGACCGACGCUGCUCCUACUCAAUCAAUGAGUAAUAAAUUUCUCAAGUACACAUUCCAAAGGAAAAGGAAGAGGAAAUUGCCAAGCAGCCCAGAUGGUGAUUCCUCUCUUAACAAUGGUAUUUUUAAGAGAAAGAUGGGGGAGAAACAAAGUAGUUCUAUGGAGUCACUUGAGUCGAGCAUGAUAACUGAAUCAUCAAGAGACAAUCAGAGGAUGGCACAGGUUGCUUGUCAGGUUGGUUAAUGUUCAGGUUUGCCUGUUUAGUGUACAACUUCUAUGGUUGUUCGUCACUGCUUGUUUGUUUGCCUAUAUGCUUAUCUUGUAAUUUUGCAUGGACAUUAUCUCUAAAACUGAUGAAAUUUUAGAUCAAAUUCAAAUGAUAUCACUACAUGUUCAGGCACAAUUGGAACAAUAACAUGAAGCCCUGUUCUGAACUGGAAUAAUUAUGCUUGUGAUCUUGCUCAGGAUGAAUUGUUAUGAAAUUGCUUGCUUAGUUUAUUAGUAGAGUCAUAUCUGUGGACAACAGAGAACCUUACUCAUGGAAGACUUCUAGAUACUCUCCACUUUUAUACUUUUCUCAUGGUAUGCCCCAGCAGAAGCAACCUGGUCACUGAAAGCUUUUGGAGAUCUUAGAAGAUCUGCAAUUUUCUACGGACAGUAGGUUUUCUUGCACUAUCAAAUAUCAUGGGAUCUCCACAAUGUAGAUAUUCUAAUGUGUUUUGUUUAAAUUUAGAUAUGUAAAAACCAUCCCACCGGCAUCAUCAUGGGUCCUAGCUUUUCAGAAGAAUUUUUACAAAUACAGUAUUAGCAAUGACUCAAUUAAAUUAGAGCAAUGCUUUAGCAACAUAAGACAGGAAUAAUUAGUUGCAUAAUCAACCAUAGGAGACAUUAGUACAACUAUGUAGUUUGAAUCUUUCCCAUUAAAGAUUCAUUCAUAAACUCUUGUUUGAUAACUUUUAUUGUGUGCUGCUGAUCUGUACUCUAUGUUUAAUACUCUUGCCGUGCGAAGGUAUGUGUGUGUCCAACUGUGCAUAUAUAAACUCAUCAUCUCCAACAAAAUCCAUAUGAGUUAAUUCCCUACACAUGAUUCCCAGGAAAUUGAACAUAAUACUUGAGUGGUUAAUGACACCCAUGUGGAAAUAUUAAUCUGUGUUGGAAAAAGGUGAGUAAUUCACUGGAAUGUUUGAUAUUUCUGUAACAAUGACCAAAUUGUAAACAAAAUAGAAGUUCCAAUUGCAAAUCUUAAAAUUUUGCCUUUUAGUGACCAACUUGAAAUUUAGGCCAAAUUUUGUUUACUGAUGGAACAAUUUACACUCAUUUUUGUGAUCAUUCCAAUAUCUGCUUUUUGUAAAGCUGUUUGUUCUUUUUUUGGUAAAUAUCCUGUGGGAGCUGUUAAUUUAGAGGCAAAGGCAAAAAUCUAUGUUGUAAUUCAUGCACCAAUGUGACUCAACCUGCCGCAAUUUUUGUGCUGAUGAUGCAGUGCCAAUCCAUACCCCACCAUGUUUAUGAUGUUAACUAAUUUGACUGCAAAAGUUGUGAUGAAACUUGAUUGUUCUUUGGGAGUAAGCUUCCUUCAUCAUAAAAGCAAAAGUUGAAGAGGAGAGGAGAGGAGAGGAUAGGGGUUGGCAAAGUAGAGUUUAUGAUUUUUAUUCAUUCAGGAACCAUGUUAUAUCCUCACAUCAAAGCAUGCAUGUGAGACUAGGGGAACAUGUGUAAUGAGAUUAAAGCAUGUGCUACGCCGAUAGCAUUGCUGUUGCUGUUAGCAGCUUUAUCAUUCAUUAUUGUGUUGUAAGUAGCAUCAUAGUUGGUAUAUGGUGUUUGCAGUCUCAUGCCAUUGUAUAGAUAGCCGACUUCUUUUAAAUUCUCUUAUGCAGCUUAUAUCCUUGUCUGAAAAGAAGUGGCAGUAGAGUUUCAUUGAAGUCAUGUGGAUUCUGAAUUUGGACAAUGAAACCAAACCUUAUGAUCUGCAAUGUAGUUUCAAAGAUGGCGUAUCAUGAAGGAAGUCCGAUGAAAAUGGCAGCUAAAUUUUCAAGA
This 2667-nucleotide unclassified non-coding RNA is filed under the name Hevea brasiliensis (rubber tree). Lineage: Eukaryota; Viridiplantae; Streptophyta; Magnoliopsida; Malpighiales; Euphorbiaceae. The record is from RNAcentral.